CAGUAGCCACGGUAAUACGUAGGGUGCAAGCGUUAAUCGGAAUUACUGGGCGUAAAGCGUGCGCAGGCGGUUAUAUAAGACAGUCGUGAAAUCCCCGGGCUCAACCUGGGAACUGCGAUUGUGACUGUAUGGCUAGAGUGUGUCAGAGGGGGGUAGAAUUCCACGUGUAGCAGUGAAAUGCGUAGAUAUGUGGAGGAAUACCGAUGGCGAAGGCAGCCCCCUGGGAUAACACUGACGCUCAUGCACGAAAGCGUGGGGAGCAAACAGGAUUAGAUACCCCGGUAGUCCCUGUCUCUUAUAC
Molecule: ribosomal RNA, 301 nt
Filed under: uncultured bacterium
Lineage: Bacteria
Description: partial 16S ribosomal RNA
Rfam family: Bacterial small subunit ribosomal RNA
Source: RNAcentral